Molecule: long non-coding RNA, 6487 nt
Filed under: Olea europaea subsp. europaea
Lineage: Eukaryota; Viridiplantae; Streptophyta; Magnoliopsida; Lamiales; Oleaceae
Source: RNAcentral
ACUAUACUAUUUGAGAUUAUUUCUCUUCUAUAAAAAAUAUUUGGUUUUUUAAUUUGUUGUAAAAUCUAAGUUAGAGGCGUUUGAGGAACGGCGAGAAAUGCCUGUAGAUUUGACACUUGCACCUUCAUCUAUUCUCUUUAAUGUGAAAUUAAAGGGAUACAAAAGGGCAAAACUCAAGAAUAGUGAAUACUGGACGGGAUUAGGAGAAAAGGGCAGACGGUGGAGUUUCUGUUGGUUUUGGAUGGACUCAAAGAUGGAGAUUUGUUUUGGGAUGACGUUGUGCAGAUAAGAUUCAUCUAUGGAGAAAGCUAAUGGGCCGAAGUUGGGAUUAGGCUUUGUCUGAGUAGAGUCACCCAUCGGAGAAAAAUGGCAGCUGCACGAAGGCUGCUCUCCGCGACGCUAUACAGAGUCCUAUCAUGGACCGAAGUUUGCUUCAUCAAAACUGUCAACCAAUGUACGGCCUUAACCUAGUGCUGAGGAGCACUUAUGUUCGCCCACUGUACAAGCAAAUAUGUAUGCACACACCACAUUCCAUUGGCACUUUGAGCUUGACAAAAUGGCAAUUUCUCUUCUACCGUCCCAUCCUCUUUCCCUCCAAACCCAGAAUUCCUUUCUUCAAACUAACUUCAAAACCCAUUUGACCCAUUGAAACUAGGCCUUUUAGAACCCAUUUAACAAAAAUCCUUGCUCAAUUUUAUUCUUUAAAGAAGGUUUAAUACAGGUAGGACGAACAUAACCCAACAUGACUUAUUUUUUGAUGCCUGAAUUUUUAUUUUUCGAUUUCCUCUUGGAAUGGGGUUUUGUUUUCAUUACCUCUACUCUUUGGAUAAAUCUACAUUUUUUAUUUGUAAUUUUUGUGAAUGCUGCAUUAGUUCCUAUAUAUUUUUAAAAAAUAUAUUGUGUAGGUUCUUACACUGGAAAUUUUUGUUUCUUAAAAUUUUAGAAAACUAUAUUUUGUACUGUCUGAAUCUACUAGAUUUCAAGCAAGUCACCUAGGUCAAGACAAAGAUUUUGGUUUUGUAAAGCCUCAUUUAGAUAUUUUCUUCUAGCUUUGGGUUAAUUUAGGAAAGCUUUUAGGAUUUCAUGAUUUGGUAUAUUUAAUAUAUGUGCAAUGUUUUCCACUAUUUCAGUUAUAUUUUUUAUCACCCACGGCAGAUUGGCUAUUCUGAAAUUACGUUUUCUUGGAUUGCUUCAUGUUUUUAGUUUUACCAUUUUCUUUUGGUGAAAUUUGAGAUUUUGUGUUAAUUGAUGGGAGGAAUGUGUGCUUUCAAAUACAACUCACUCAAUUUCUUAGCAGCCUUUAGUAGAUUCUCAUCUCCAAUCUAAGCCUACAUUAUUGUGUAUCUAAUGAAAAAAUGAAAUGGUUAUACAUUUUUCUUCGUCCUACAAUGCUUUUCUAUAACAUGGAAGUCAUAUUCUUGUGUGAAAAUAAUUGUUUUAAUCAUAUUGUAGAGAUUACUGUUUCAAUUUCUGCUAUAUAGCAAGUUAUUUAAGAAUCUGAGUACCAUGCUUGGAAUUCAGUGAAAUAUUUUGCGUCUGCUGUCGUUUUUAAUGAGAGGAUGAUAAUUCCAGUAUCUAGAAAUCGACAGAGGAGCCUAAUCUUUUCUAUUUUUAAUUUUUUGAUGUUUUGGUAUCUUGUGAUUAACUAAGUUCCCUAAAUUUUCAUCUUUACUUCGUUGCCUGCUUGUGUUUUUCAUAUGAUAGUUUAUGUGAGGAUUUUAAUUGACAGCAAUCUAGAUACAGAUUCAUUUAUAUUUGUAUUACUCUUUUAAUCAUUUGUUUAGCCUUGAAUAUGUCAUUUGAUAUUUACCUUCAAGUUCCAUAUAUUUUUCUAUUUAUACAGGUGAAAGAAAGGACUUGUUCAUCGAGGGAGGCCUUUUCUUCGUUUGUUUGUGUAAGUAGAAUGGUGCUCAGUGUACAUCUGUUGAUUUGGUUAUUAUUUAGUGAAUCUUUACUCUUUAACGAGAUAUUGAAUUGAAUAUUGGUGAGUUGAUAUUUAUGCUAUGAUUUUUCUACUUUUCUUGUUCGCUCUUAUGGGAUUUUUAAAAUGGCAUAAUCUUCGAUUGUGAGAUAAAGCACACAUUGUUGAUGGGGUUGGGUGUAAGAAAAGACUAUUUUUUGAAUAAUUUUGACCGUUUUUUGGAAAGGAAACUGUGAAAAAGAAGGGAAUUCACUUAAAAUGCCAAGUAUAUAAUGUUGAAGAUAGAAGUGCAAAAGAAGUCAGAACAUUGAACUGUAGAUGCAAUUUAUCGUUAGAAAUAUAGUGAAAAUAAAGGGAUUAUCUGAUUUUGUAAGUUAGGCAAUUUAGAUUUCAUACUUUGGAAUCGAGAUGGUUUCCUUUGUCUUUUCCAUUAUCAUAGUUUAAUUGCUUUUUAUUUUUUUAUUGAAGCCUUUUUUAUUCUAUAUCGGGAACUGAUAAAUUAUGUCUAUGCAUAAAACUGCCAAAACUGUAUUGACUGCAUAUUCUUUUCCUUCUAAGAAUCCAAGUGUGAACUAGCUAUUUUGUACUGAACUUCCGCUACUUCCAUAAUCACAGUAGGAAAAACAUUGCAAAAAUUUUACAAGAUAUGUGAUUGAUGUAGAUUUCAUGAUGGUGUUGACUGCAUUGAUAGUAUAUUGGAAAGAACAAUGAUGUCUCUGCUACAAUUGAAGCCAACGUUUUUAUCAUAAUUAUUCUUGCUAAUAUUUUUUUACACACAUUAAUGGGAGCUUUCCACCUGCCUAUCCUCAAUGUUUUCAACUUAAUUGUCGGAGAUGGCUACUCUUAAGAAGUUGGAAUUCAUGAGAGAACUCAGAAAGGUACUCUACAUAUUCUAUUUUUCUUUUUGUUGUUAUACAUGUUCUCGAUGAAGAGUAAUUUGGUGAAAGUUACCAAACAAAAAUUUUGAUUUACGUUCUCCAACUUUUCUUGGUAAGUUCCCACAAUUGGUGUUGUUGGAAGUUUUGCCCUUGUUAAGAUACUUGAGCAAAUUGGAAAAUAAGGUCAACUCCUACUUGAUUUUGAUUUCAAAUGCUCGAUUAAUUUAUUUAAUGAAUCUAAAUCUUGUAAUGAUGAGUUUUAUGAUACAUAUAAUUUGUUUUCUUAAUAAUUCGACCUGACAUCAAGAAAUGUCCCAAAUGAACUUAGUUGGACUCCUUCGAAACAAUGCAAUAAUCUAUAUGAACAGUUAUAUUAGGUCACAAGUUUUAUUCACAUUCAGUAAUGUUUCUUAAGAUCAGUUGGAGAUCGCAUGAAUAUACACUCAUUUUAAAAUGAUGGUGAAAAAAAUUCUAUUAUGAAGCAUAUGUUCAUGCAUCAUCUUAUUUUACUGAUAAACCUCCUAUACGGUUCACUUACAAGAGGCGUCACAAGAAUUUGGUGUAAAGGGAAUAUUAGUUGUUAGAUUGGCUGAAAAUAAAUCAGUUAUGCUGACGUCACAUUUACUUAUAAAUACCAGUAGUAGAGUCUAGAAGAUCAUUCAGAAAACAGGAAAUUCUGAGUCAUUAGGAGAGGGGCAACUCUCGAAACUUGCCAAUUUACUCUUUUCUUUCAUACUGUUCAUUUCAUUCCGUAUCAAUUAAAUUCUUCUUCAAUUCCAUUAUUUUACUUACAAUUCAGCUUUCUAUUAACUCGAAUUGCAAUUGUGUGCUGCUAAUUCAUUGGGCUUGAGCAGAUCUUACCAUUUGGUAUCAGAGCCGGUCAAAUUUCUGGGAAACGGAUGCCAGUCACGAGAAUGGACGUCAGAAUUGAAGCAUUGGAGAAAUCCGUACCUUCCUUGAGUGCGAGCAUGGUCGAAUUGAAAGGAGAUGUGGAACAUUUGAAUAAUCAAGUGGGACUGGAACUCGGGAAGAUGAACCAGAGGCUCGAAGCGAGCCUCGCGCUGGGUAGACGGGAGUUGAACGACGGGUUAUGGCUAAUAGAGAAGAUGUUGAAGGGCUCGAAAUUAAGUUCCUCCAGCAGUCCAGGAGAAGAGAGUGGGAGGAUGUCGACCACUUCUGUCGAGGAGCAGCCGGAAGUGGAAAACGUGAAUUCCGAGAAGAUGGCGGUUGCCUCUGUUGAAGGUAACUAUCGAAAACUUGAAUUGCCACUGUUCAAUGGAGUCGAUCCUGACUCCUGGAUAUUUAGAGCUGAGAGGUACUUCCGAAUGAACAAGUUCGAUGAUGUUGAGCGAGCUGUGGCUGCGGGUGUAUGUAUGGAAGGAGCAGCGCUAUCCUGGUUUCAAUGGGAGGAUGGACGGCGACCCAUGCACAACUGGACUGAACUUAAACGGCGACUACUGGAGAGGUUUCGAGAUACCCAGUAUGGAACCUUACACCAAAGGUUCCUGGCUAUCAAGCAAACAGGAACGGUAGCUGAGUUCAGGGAGCGAUUUGAAGUCAUGGCAGCACCCCUGAAAAAUGUCAGUGACGAUGUACUGGAAGGAGUUUUCAUUAAUGGGUUGGACGAAGAAGUGCAGGCUGAAGUACUGAUGGCGAAUCUGGUGGGACUAUCCCAGAUUAUGGACUUGGCCCAGCGGGUUGAAGAUAGGAACAACCGAAUCAACAAGGGAAGGGAGAAGGAGCGACCGCGAUUUAGGAAUGUGAUGAAUCCUAACCCGGUUCGAGGGGAACAGAGAACUCUUCCCUGGAAUGUGACGAGGGGAGUUAAUUCACCUGAUAAGGUGGGCACGAAUCUGCCGAACACCACUUUUGGGUUUAAAAAGCUGACCCAGGCUGAAAUCCAAGCUAAGAAGGAGAAGGGAUUAUGCUUCCGAUGUGACGGGAAGUACACCGUUGGACACCAGUGCCGUAACAAGGAAUUACAUGUGCUGUUGGUAGAUGACGACCUGGAAAAUUAUGAGUUGGAAGGAGAAAUACCGGAAGGGACAGCUGACUGUAACGAACUGGAAGGUGUGGAGUUGUCAAUGAACUCNGUGGUGAAUCGUUGUUUGGAGACUUAUCUCAGGUGUUUUGCGAACAGCCAUCCUCGCUCGUGGUCUGACUGGAUUCCAUGGGCUGAAUUCUGGUAUAACUCAUCCUUCCACACUUCCACUAAGGCCACCCCUUUUAAAGUUGUUUAUGGGAGGGAUCCUCCACCGGUCAUACGUUAUGGGACGCAGCACACACCGGUGGCAGACCUAGAUCAACAGCUCCAGCUGCGAGAUGAAAUGAUUAGUGCCUUGAAGUUACAAUUGGAAAAGGCCCAAAACCGGAUGAAAGAAGUAGCAGACACCAGAAGAAGGGAGGUUCAGUUUCAGGUGGGAGAUCGAGUUUACCUUAAACUCCAGCCAUACCGACAGAGGUCCUUGGCCAAGCGUGCUAAUGAGAAGCUAUCACCGCGAUUUUUUGGGCCCUAUGUCAUUGUUCAGAAAAUAGGUGCAGUGGCUUAUAAGCUCCAGCUUCCAGAAGGCACAAACAUCCACCCAGUGUUCCAUGUUUCUCAACUACGGAAGGCAGUGGGAUCUACCACUUCCAUCCAGCCACUCCCCACUCUUCUCAGCCCUGAUUUAGAGUGGAAAGUGAAACCUGCUGGUGUGUUGGGCAUCAGGCCAGCAAGUGAUCUUGACAAUACCGGGCCAGAGGUACUGAUUCAGUGGGAGGAUCUUCCCCCUUUCGAGGCAUCAUGGGAGCCAUUUGAGCUGAUCAAUUCUCAGUUUCCUGAAUUCCACCUUGGGGACAAGGUGCUUUCGAUGGCGGGGGAUAUUGAUAAACCUCCUAUACGGUUCACUUACAAGAGGCGUCACAAGAAUUUGGUGUAAAGGGAAUAUUAGUUGUUAGAUUGGCUGAAAAUAAAUCAGUUAUACUGAUGUCACAUUUAUUUAUAAAUACCAGUAGUAGAGUCUAGAAGAUCAUUCAGAAAACAGGAAAUUCUGAGUCAUUAGGAGAGGGGCAACUCUCGAAACUUGCCAAUUUACUCUUUUCUUUCAUACUGUUCAUUUCAUUCCGUAUCAAUUAAAUUCUUCUUCAAUUCCAUUAUUUUACUUACAAUUCAGCUUUCUAUUAACUCGAAUUGCAAUUGUGUGCUGCUAAUUCAUUGGGCUUGAGCAGAUCUUACCAUUUACAUGGGAUACUGUAUGGAUCUUUACCAUGCUGUUUCUUUGGAAAGUUCCUACUCACAAAUUAAUGAAAAAUGAUAUUAAUUUUUCACAGAGAAUGUCUAGAAAAGGUGCUUAUUUUCCUUCUUUGAGUAUGUCUAUGGAACUACAACGAAUUUUAUCUGAGCAAUAGAGAUGCUGAUGGGAGUGGAUUCGGUCUACAUGAUUAUUAAAGGGAUAUGAAAAAAUAAAUUAGGAAAAGCUAAAAAAAUUACAGCUUUGUAUAUAAAAAUUGGAGUUUUGUGAGAAUUUUGAGUUCUUUAUUCUAUGCAGAUAACAUGUUUGAAGAAAUUCAGUGAAGAAUGAAAUCUGAAAAGGGUCAAGAAGAGGAUAAGAAAAGGAUGAGGAGUUUUGUCCUAGAAAAUAUGCAACAUUACCUACUAAUAAUGCCAAAGGUACCUAUUUUUAUAAGUACUAAUUUUUUCAUUCACGUU